RNAcentral lists this ribosomal RNA (503 nucleotides) under uncultured bacterium. Its description in RNAcentral is "bacterial SSU rRNA". It matches the Rfam family "Bacterial small subunit ribosomal RNA", at positions 10 to 507 of the family's 1533-position model. The record is from RNAcentral.
AGUUUGAUCAUGGCUCAGAUUGAACGCUGGCGGCAUGCGUAACACAUGCAAGUCGAACGGUGUUUGGUGCUUGUACCAGACAUAGUGGCGGACGGGUGAGUAAUGCGUAGGAAUCUGUCUUAGGAGAGGGGGACAACCCGAGGAAACUUGGGCUAAAACCGCAUAUUCUCGAGAGAGGAAAGCAGGGGACCGGAAACGGCCUUGUGCUCUAAGGUGAGCCUACAUCGGAUUAGCUAGUUGGUAGGGUAAAAGCCUACCAAGGCGAUGAUCUGUAGCUGGUCUGAGAGGACGGACAGCCACACUGGGACUGAGACACGGCCCAGACUCCUACGGGAGGCAGCAGUGGGGAAUAUUGGACAAUGGGGGGAACCCUGAUCCAGCGAUGCCGCGUGUGUGAAGAAGGCCUGCGGGUUGUAAAGCACUUUCAGUGGGAAAGAGAAGCGUCUUGUGAAUAAUGGGACGUGGAGACGUUACUCACAGAAGAAGCACCGGCUAACUCUGUG